RNAcentral lists this ribosomal RNA (372 nucleotides) under uncultured organism. RNAcentral's name for it is "bacterial SSU rRNA". It matches the Rfam family "Bacterial small subunit ribosomal RNA", at positions 526 to 896 of the family's 1533-position model. The record is from RNAcentral.
CGUAGGGGGCAAGCGUUGUCCGGAAUCAUUGGGCGUAAAGCGCGUGUAGGCGGGUCGGUCAGUCUGCUCUGAAAGUCCAAGGCUCAACCUUGGGAUGCGGGUGGAUACUGCCGACCUAGAGUCCGGAAGAGGCGAGUGGAAUUCCUGGUGUAGCGGUGAAAUGCGCAGAUAUCAGGAGGAACACCAAUGGCGAAGGCAGCUCGCUGGGACGUGACUGACGCUGAGACGCGAAAGCGUGGGGAGCAAACAGGAUUAGAUACCCUGGUAGUCCACGCCGUAAACGAUGGGCACUAGGUGUGGGGGGUGUCGACUCCCCCCGUGCCGAAGCUAACGCAUUAAGUGCCCCGCCUGGGGAGUACGGCCGCAAGGCUA